RNAcentral lists this transfer RNA (70 nucleotides) under Marmota monax (woodchuck). RNAcentral describes it as "tRNA.Glu". The record is from RNAcentral. Lineage: Eukaryota; Metazoa; Chordata; Mammalia; Rodentia; Sciuridae.
GGAUAUAGCUCAGUUAGUAGAGUUCUUGCAUCUCAUGCAUAAGGUCCUGGGUUCAAUCCCCAGCAACACA